CUCCUUGGGUGGCGAGUGGCGGACGGGUGAGGAAUACAUCGGAAUCUGCCUAUUUGUGGGGGAUAACGUAGGGAAACUUACGCUAAUACCGCAUACGACCUACGGGUGAAAGCGGAGGACCUUCGGGCUUCGCGCAGAUAGAUGAGCCGAUGUCGGAUUAGCUAGUUGGCGGGGUAAAGGCCCACCAAGGCGACGAUCCGUAGCUGGUCUGAGAGGAUGAUCAGCCACACUGGAACUGAGACACGGUCCAGACUCCUACGGGAGGCAGCAGUGGGGAAUAUUGGACAAUGGGCGCAAGCCUGAUCCAGCCAUGCCGCGUGGGUGAAGAAGGCCUUCGGGUUGUAAAGCCCUUUUGUUGGGAAAGAAAAGCAGUCGGUUAAUACCCGAUUGUUCUGACGGUACCCAAAGAAUAAGCACCGGCUAACUUCGUGCCAGCAGCCGCGGUAAUACGAAGGGUGCAAGCGUUACUCGGAAUUACUGGGCGUAAAGCGUGCGUAGGUGGUUUGUUAAGUCUGAUGUGAAAGCCCUGGGCUCAACCUGGGAAUUGCAUUGGAUACUGGCAGGCUAGAGUGCGGUAGAGGGUAGUGGAAUUCCCGGUG
RNAcentral lists this ribosomal RNA (599 nucleotides) under Oceanobacillus picturae. Its description in RNAcentral is "bacterial SSU rRNA". It matches the Rfam family "Bacterial small subunit ribosomal RNA", at positions 80 to 675 of the family's 1533-position model. The record is from RNAcentral. Lineage: Bacteria; Bacillati; Bacillota; Bacilli; Caryophanales; Bacillaceae.